RNAcentral lists this long non-coding RNA (2024 nucleotides) under Helianthus annuus (common sunflower). RNAcentral's name for it is "hypothetical non coding rna". The record is from RNAcentral. Lineage: Eukaryota; Viridiplantae; Streptophyta; Magnoliopsida; Asterales; Asteraceae.
GAUAACUGAGAUAUUUUUUUUUCUAAAGUGUUCUGUUUGUUUCUCUCACAUCGAGACAAAUUAGGGUUUGACUGUGAAUCUAGUUGAUUCACGGAUCUGGUGAUUCUAGGUGUUUGUCUGUUAAAGUUCAUCAAGCAGAUGAUCCUGUGAGAGUUGUGAGAAUUUGUUCAGUUAUUUCAGUUUAUCUAUCUGUUCGUUGUAUCAGUUGAAAUACUUUUCUAGGGUUAAUAAACUUUCGGUUUGGGUAUUUUGAGUUGCUUCGCUUUGAUAUCAUCUUCUUGACAUGGUAUCAGAGCCAUGGCUCUGGUGGAUUGUUAUUCAUCCUCUUGUUCUUCCGCUGACGUUUUGAGGUGUAUUAGGGUUUUUUGGUUUUCAAAUAUAAAAAACCUGGUUGCAUCAUUCUUUUAGACGACUGAGUUGUAAAGAUGACUCUCUUUUCGUUCAUGGCGUUUGCCAGAAGCCUGGACGUCUCACAAGGGGACGAGUCUCUGUGGGAUUACAUGGUUCUGGCGAUUUUGCCCUAAUUUCCGUCAAACCAUUGCGAUCAAUCGAAUCAAAAUCACAAAAAAGUCUCCAAUCGAUGACCUACAUAAAGCUGAUUCACAAGAUCAACUGCUGAAAUCCGAUAUUUGUUUCAUGUUUUCAACGAUUUCUGCUUCAUAUUUCCAGAUUCUACACUAUUCGAACCCAAAUCGAACAAUCGGAACAUAGAUCUGUGAAGUUGGAACCGAAUCUCUCACGGUUUUUCAAGAUUCAAGCGUCGGAAGAGGUUUUUGCAGCAAGCAGGAGAGUUAGGGCGUGCUAAUUUCUUCGGUUUUUGUUGUUAUUGAAAGUUAAAAGUUCGUGUAGCGUGUUAUUCAAAGAAUCUACGCAGAUCGAUCGAUAUUUUGAACGGAUGGUUGUCGUUUAGGGCUUGUUCGAGUUGAAACGCUUGUGAUCUGGAUAGCAGUUUAUAUUGGGGCUUGGGGCUCUCGUAUUUCUUAGUGAAUGAUACGGCUGACUGUAUGUGCUAUUGUCUUCUUUACACAGUAAAAUCAAAGUGAAGCCGACCGAUUUGCCAUUUAAGAUUUAUCACAUCUGGAAAGUCUCAUAUUCCUAAAGUGAAGUGUCUGGUCCAUUGAAUAUCACAACUGGAAGUUUUUUUACGCUUUACAAAGAUAGCAAAGUGUUUCUGCCGUCUUGGUUUGCAUCUUGUAAGAGUGCUGGUCACCCUAAAUGAAGGUGUAUCGGGUUAGCUUGACAUUAAAGCACUGGUUGGGGGGAGGGGUCAUUCAUGUUACAGGCACCUGAUAUGGGAUGACAGAUACAUUGAAGAUCAAAUUGUGUCAAGAUUAGGAUGGACACAAAGACAUAAUGAAACUGGUGUAAUAAAUGGAUGUCAAACACUGGUUCUAUAAAAGGAUGUCAAAACACUUGAUAAAGGAUAAGGAUGGUCACAUUCAAAUUGGUGCAGCUCACAAGCAAUGAGAAAGGGUAAGGUGUACCUAGCCCACAAGCACAUUAGUCCAGCUCCUCUAUUCACUACAAUGGUGCAGGCAAUACAACUACAUUAUCUCAUCAGAUGGUUUCAAAUACUUAGCUCACAUUUUUGGACCAUAUAGUGUCUCAUAUUCUCUUUGACUUAAUUCAUAUACUUAUGCUACUAAGACAAAUGGCGUAAUUUUUCAAAUGAAGUAAAGAUAUCCGAGUGUAUCAAAGCAGUCUUCAAGAAUCUAGAUAUUAGGUGCUACUUUUGUUUUUAAUGUUUAUUGGUUAUUUAAUUUUUAUUUAUUAUCCAGGUUGUUGUGUGGGUUUUGUGGAAAAACAGGAACAAUGUUGUGUUUAAUGACAAGCAGUCGGAUUUUUCAAGGUUAAAGAAAUAUGUAAAAAUUUAGGGUAUCUUUGUGUUAAGCAUAGGUUGAAACGGGUGACUUAAGCUGAGAUGACUGGUGCAGUUUCGAUUUAGCCCGCUUGAGGGUUUGAUGUAAUGUUGUUUUUGGUGUAAUAUUGUGCGGUUUUUUUGGUGUACUUUGUAUGAAUGUUGG